UACAGAGGGUGCGAGCGUUGUUCGGAAUUAUUGGGCGUAAAGCGCUGGUAGGUGGCUUGUUAAGUCGCGUGUGAAAGCUCCAGGCUCAACCUGGAAAGUGCGCGCGAAACUGGCGAGCUUGAGUGCCGGAGAGGGUCGCGGAAUUCCCGGUGUAGAGGUGAAAUUCGUAGAUAUUGGGAAGAACACCGGUGGCGAAGGCGGCGACCUGGUCCUUGACUGACGCUGAGGCGCGAAAGCGUGGGGAGCAAACAGG
This 253-nucleotide ribosomal RNA is filed under the name uncultured bacterium. RNAcentral's name for it is "partial 16S ribosomal RNA". It matches the Rfam family "Bacterial small subunit ribosomal RNA", at positions 524 to 776 of the family's 1533-position model. The record is from RNAcentral.